GACGAACGCUGGCGGCGUGCUUAACACAUGCAAGUCGAACGGAAAGGCCCUGCUUGCAGGGUACUCGAGUGGCGAACGGGUGAGUAACACGUGGGUGAUCUGUCCUGCACUUCGGGAUAAGCCUGGGAAACUGGGUCUAAUACCGGAUAGGAGCCAUUUUUAGUGUGAUGGUUGGAAAGUUUUUUCGGUGUAGGAUGAGCUCGCGGCCUAUCAGCUUGUUGGUGGGGUAAUGGCCUACCAAGGCGGCGACGGGUAGCCGGCCGGAGAGGGUGGACGGCCACAUUGGGACUGAGAUACGGCCCGGACUCCUACCGGAGGCAGCAGGGGGGAAUAUUUCCCAAUGGGCGCAAGCCUGAUGCAGCGACGCCGCGUGGGGGAUGACGGCCUUCGGGUUGUAAACUCCUUUCGCUAGGGACGAAGCUUUUUGUGACGGUACCUAGAUAAGAAGCACCGGCUAACUACGUG
RNAcentral lists this ribosomal RNA (465 nucleotides) under uncultured bacterium. Its description in RNAcentral is "partial 16S ribosomal RNA". It matches the Rfam family "Bacterial small subunit ribosomal RNA", at positions 28 to 507 of the family's 1533-position model. The record is from RNAcentral.